GGGGGCGAAUUGGAUUCGACCGGGCGGUGGAUGCGUCGGUGGCGUGUCCAGGUUCCAAGGAGGCCUGGUAAAACACCUUGGGUAAAGUUUACUUGCCAAUCAUCAGAUGGCAAUGGCUGCCUAAAUAAGGCAACCCGUUCGCCCGGCCUUCGCCCGCGAGGUUGGGACGAACGAAAUCAGCGGGCUUACCGGUAAGGAGUGGGCCUGUUACCUUUCCGGGAAAUUCGGCAGGUCUGGCCUUGCUGCACCGCGUCGGCGCGGGUCAGCCGGGCGAGAUUAAACCGCCGACUACACACGUAGAAGCCGCCGUUGAAACGUCACGGGACGCGGGUUCGAUUCCCGCCGCCUCCA
Molecule: transfer-messenger RNA, 351 nt
Filed under: Planctomycetota bacterium
Lineage: Bacteria; Pseudomonadati; Planctomycetota
Description: Planctomycetes bacterium (anaerobic digester metagenome) transfer-messenger RNA
Rfam family: transfer-messenger RNA
About the family: Bacterial tmRNA, also known as 10Sa RNA or SsrA, is named for its dual tRNA and mRNA-like properties. Its role is to liberate the mRNA from a stalled ribosome. To accomplish this part of the tmRNA is used as a reading frame that ends in a translation stop signal.
Source: RNAcentral